Trichechus manatus latirostris (Florida manatee) is the source of this 245-nucleotide long non-coding RNA. RefSeq lists it as uncharacterized. Lineage: Eukaryota; Metazoa; Chordata; Mammalia; Sirenia; Trichechidae. The transcript has 3 exons. The record is from RefSeq and is a predicted model, not a curated record.
CUGGCAAAGAGGAAGUACCAUGAUGAGUCAGAACCAGCUUGAUGGUAACUAACAACAAUAUGUGUGGUAAAUAUAAUAUCUGUGAAUAACAAUUACCAAAAAGCACAAACACAUCCAAGAAAUAUUUCAAGGCUUAAAUCCAUAAGCCAACUCUACCUAAGAGAAGAAUGACACCCUCAAUCAAGAAAAAAAUAUAUAACUGAACAAAUCAUUCACAUCAGGAUGGAAACGAACACAAAGGUAAA